UAUUAUUUUGUGAUUAGGUCUAGUUUAUGAUGAACCACUAGUUGUAGGUCAAUGAUAUUUGGUAUGCAGUUGCAUAAGCAUUGGCAUAUCUCAUUUCCAUGGAGAUUAUUUGGCUCCACUCCCUCAGUCAUGGUCUAUUGACUUUGAAACUUUUGCUUAGUUUACAUGUAUUAGUUUGUGAUUAGAUCAGUUUAAGAUGAACUGCUAAUGUUAAGUCAAUGAUAUUUGGUAUGCAAAUUUAUUGGCAUUUGCAAGUCUUAUUUCCAUGGAGAUUAUAAAGCCCCACCCCCUCAUCAUAGUUCAUUGACUUUGAAACUUUUACAUAGUUUACAAGUUAAUGUUUGUGUUUAGGUUUGUUUAAAGGGAACGACUUAUGAUAAGUCAAUGGUAUUUGGUAUGCAGUCGUAUUAACAUUGACACAUCUCAUUUCCAUGGAGAUAGUUCAGCCAUGUAUCUUCAGUCAUGGUUCAUCGACUUUGAAUAUUUGCAUAACUUACAUGUUAAAGUAUUGCUAUUUUAAUU
Mytilus californianus (California mussel) is the source of this 522-nucleotide long non-coding RNA. RefSeq lists it as uncharacterized. NCBI's taxonomy places the organism in Eukaryota, Metazoa, Mollusca, Bivalvia, Mytilida, Mytilidae. The transcript is spliced from 2 exons. The record is from RefSeq and is a predicted model, not a curated record.